GUACCAGAGCUUGCUCUCGGGUGACGAGCGGCGGACGGGUGAGUAAUGUCUGGGAAACUGCCUGAUGGAGGGGGAUAACUACUGGAAACGGUAGCUAAUACCGCAUAAUGUCGCAAGACCAAAGUGGGGGACCUUCGGGCCUCAUGCCAUCAGAUGUGCCCAGAUGGGAUUAGCUAGUAGGUGGGGUAACGGCUCACCUAGGCGACGAUCCCUAGCUGGUCUGAGAGGAUGACCAGCCACACUGGAACUGAGACACGGUCCAGACUCCUACGGGAGGCAGCAGUGGGGAAUAUUGCACAAUGGGCGCAAGCCUGAUGCAGCCAUGCCGCGUGUGUGAAGAAGGCCUUCGGGUUGUAAAGCACUUUCAGCGGGGAGGAAGGCGAUAAGGUUAAUAACCUUGUCGAUUGACGUUACCCGCAGAAGAAGCACCGGCUAACUCCGUGCCAGCAGCCGCGGUAAUACGGAGGGUGCAAGCGUUAAUCGGAAUUACUGGGCGUAAAGCGCACGCAGGCGGUCUGUCAAGUCGGAUGUGAAAUCCCCGGGCUCAACCUGGGAACUGCAUUCGAAACUGGCAGGCUAGAGUCUUGUAGAGGGGGGUAGAAUUCCAGGUGUAGCGGUGAAAUGCGUAGAGAUCUGGAGGAAUACCGGUGGCGAAGGCGGCCCCCUGGACAAAGACUGACGCUC
This 684-nucleotide ribosomal RNA is filed under the name Klebsiella sp. HGA0149. Its description in RNAcentral is "bacterial SSU rRNA". It matches the Rfam family "Bacterial small subunit ribosomal RNA", at positions 69 to 748 of the family's 1533-position model. The record is from RNAcentral. Lineage: Bacteria; Pseudomonadati; Pseudomonadota; Gammaproteobacteria; Enterobacterales; Enterobacteriaceae.